Ceratotherium simum simum (southern white rhinoceros) is the source of this 779-nucleotide non-coding RNA. NCBI's taxonomy places the organism in Eukaryota, Metazoa, Chordata, Mammalia, Perissodactyla, Rhinocerotidae. The record is from RefSeq and is a predicted model, not a curated record.
UUACUAUUUUCAUGUUACAGUUGUGGAGACUGAGGGACAGAGCUGUUAUGUAACUGGUCUAAGGUCACAUAUGCAAUGUUGUUCUCACAGAGUGUGCCUUCUAGUUUUUUUAUUUUUUCAAAAACUGUCUUAACUACUUGUGGUCUUUACUAUACCUUAAAAAGACGUUUAGAACCAUUUUGUUAAUUUUUUUCAGAAAAUUCUGCUAGAAAUUUGGUUGGAAUAGAAUUGAGCUUAUGGGAAGAACUUUCAUCAUGAUAACGUUAAAUUGGGCCAUCUGUGAACAUGGCUGAACCAGUUACACUUUUCCAUUUACUCAAGUCUUCUCUUAUGUCCUAUAAUAUAGUAAAUUAAUCUUUCAUGGUGAACAUUUUUUUGUUAGGCUAAAUCAAGGUUGGCAAAAUGCUCUGGUCUGUAGUCUCUUUGUAUGGCCUGUGAGCUAAGAACAAAUUUUUACAUUUUUUUAUGUGUGGUGAUAAAAAAAUACAAAACCAUCAAAGAUUAUGUGACAGAGUGUAUAUAUUUGAUAUCCAGCCUUUUACAGAAAAAGUUUCCUGAACCUUGGGUUAUAUCUUAGAUAUUUAUAGUUAUUUUUCUCUAGUAUUUAGUAUCUUAUUAGUGUAACUUCAGUGUUCAAUACAGAAGUCACAACCACAUGUGGUUAACUAAAUUUAGAUAAUUAAAAUGAGAAACAAUUAGAACUUCAGUUCCUUGGUCAUACUAGCAACACUUCAAGUGCCCAACAACUACAUGUGGCUACUGGCUACUACACUGGACAG